GACUGUAUAGCUCAGUGGUAAAGCGCUUGCUUAGCAUGCAUGAGGUCCUGGGUUCAAUCCUCAGUACCUCCA
Camelus ferus (Wild Bactrian camel) is the source of this 72-nucleotide transfer RNA. It matches the Rfam family "tRNA". From Rfam's summary of the family: Transfer RNA (tRNA) molecules are approximately 80 nucleotides in length. Their secondary structure includes four short double-helical elements and three loops (D, anti-codon, and T loops). Further hydrogen bonds mediate the characteristic L-shaped molecular structure. tRNAs have two regions of fundamental functional importance: the anti-codon, which is responsible for specific mRNA codon recognition, and the 3' end, to which the tRNAs corresponding amino acid is attached (by aminoacyl-tRNA synthetases). tRNAs cope with the degeneracy of the genetic code in two manners: having more than one tRNA (with a specific anti-codon) for a particular amino acid; and 'wobble' base-pairing, i.e. permitting non-standard base-pairing at the 3rd anti-codon position. Lineage: Eukaryota; Metazoa; Chordata; Mammalia; Artiodactyla; Camelidae. The record is from Rfam.